ACUACGGGGGGCAGCAGUGAGGAAUAUUGGUCAAUGGCCGAGAGGCUGAACCAGCCAAGUCGCGUGAGGGAAGACGGCCCUACGGGUUGUAAACCUCUUUGGUCGGGGAGCAAAGCGAACCACGUGUGGUUCAUUGAGAGUACCCGAAGAAAAAGAAUCGACUAACUCCGUGCCAGCAGCCGCGGUAAUACGGAGGAUGCGAGCGUUAUACGGAUUAAUUGGGGUUAAAGGGUGCGCAGGCGGAGGUGCAAGUCAGCGGUCAAAUUGCGGGGCUCAACCCCGUACUGCCGUUGAAACUGCAUCCCUUGAGUGCGCGAGAAGUAUGCGGAAGGCGUGGUGUAGCGGUGAAAUGCAUAGAUAUCACGCAGAACUCCGAUUGCGAAGGCAGCAUACCGGCGCGCAACUGACGCUCAUGCACGAAAGCGUGGGUAUCGAACAGGAUUAGAUACCCCUGUAGUC
This 459-nucleotide ribosomal RNA is filed under the name uncultured bacterium. RNAcentral describes it as "partial 16S ribosomal RNA". It matches the Rfam family "Bacterial small subunit ribosomal RNA", at positions 338 to 795 of the family's 1533-position model. The record is from RNAcentral.